This 933-nucleotide ribosomal RNA is filed under the name uncultured bacterium. Its description in RNAcentral is "bacterial SSU rRNA". It matches the Rfam family "Bacterial small subunit ribosomal RNA", at positions 33 to 948 of the family's 1533-position model. The record is from RNAcentral.
ACGCUGGCGGCGUGCCUAAUACAUGCAAGUAGAACGCUGAAGAGAGGAGCUUGCUCUUCUUGAAUGAGUUGCGAACGGGUGAGUAACGCGUAGGUAACCUGCCUUGUAGCGGGGGAUAACUAUUGGAAACGAUAGCUAAUACCGCAUAACAAUGGGUGACACAUGUCAUUUAUUUGAAAGGGGCAAUUGCUCCACUACAAGAUGGACCUGCGUUGUAUUAGCUAGUAGGUGAGGUAACGGCUCACCUAGGCGACGAUACAUAGCCGACCUGAGAGGGUGAUCGGCCACACUGGGACUGAGACACGGCCCAGACUCCUACGGGAGGCAGCAGUAGGGAAUCUUCGGCAAUGGGGGCAACCCUGACCGAGCAACGCCGCGUGAGUGAAGAAGGUUUUCGGAUCGUAAAGCUCUGUUGUAAGUCAAGAACGAGUGUGAGAGUGGAAAGUUCACACUGUGACGGUAGCUUACCAGAAAGGGACGGCUAACUACGUGCCAGCAGCCGCGGUAAUACGUAGGUCCCGAGCGUUGUCCGGAUUUAUUGGGCGUAAAGCGAGCGCAGGCGGUUUGAUAAGUCUGAAGUUAAAGGCUGUGGCUCAACCAUAGUUCGCUUUGGAAACUGUCAUACUUGAGUGCAGAAGGGGAGAGUGGAAUUCCAUGUGUAGCGGUGAAAUGCGUAGAUAUAUGGAGGAACACCGGUGGCGAAAGCGGCUCUCUGGUCUGUAACUGACGCUGAGGCUCGAAAGCGUGGGGAGCGAACAGGAUUAGAUACCCUGGUAGUCCACGCCGUAAACGAUGAGUGCUAGGUGUUGGAUCCUUUCCGGGAUUCAGUGCCGCAGCUAACGCAUUAAGCACUCCGCCUGGGGAGUACGACCGCAAGGUUGAAACUCAAAGGAAUUGACGGGGGCCCGCACAAGCGGUGGAGCAUGUGGUUUA